AGAAAUUUAGGUUAACCAAACCAAGAGCCUUCAAAGCCCUCAACAGUAGUAUUUACCCCACUAAUUUCUG
This 70-nucleotide transfer RNA is filed under the name Perochirus ateles. Its description in RNAcentral is "tRNA-Trp". Lineage: Eukaryota; Metazoa; Chordata; Lepidosauria; Squamata; Gekkonidae. The record is from RNAcentral.